UGGACAGCCCAGGAGAGUGAAGUCCUCUGUUUAGUCACAGAGCAGGUACAGCAGCCAUCAACGUCUACUCAGAGCUAAUGGGACCACCAGCUAGGAACGAAAGGCUGGCUAAUGGCUGCACUGGCUUUUGAUGAGCACGGGGAGCCUCCAGAGGUGUUAGGGGCCAGUUCAAGUGGCCUCCUGCUCGGAGUGUUUCGCUUCU
This is an unclassified non-coding RNA of Gopherus agassizii (Agassiz's desert tortoise), 202 nucleotides long. The record is from Ensembl. NCBI's taxonomy places the organism in Eukaryota, Metazoa, Chordata, Testudines, Testudinidae.